GGAGAAAAAAAAACUACAUCUGUACAACUGAUUCUGAAAAUGAUCUGAAGAUUGGCAGAAUAGACUUUGCACAGCUCAUCAUAGAGAAAAGAUCACCUCAGUAAGACUAGGGGGGCAGAGACCUGGUUGGGAGAAUUGGACAUUAAUACAAUAACAGUAGAAAACUGUAACACCCCAUUUACAUCAACAGAUACAUCAUCUGGAAAGAAAAUAAGGAAACAGUGUCUUUGAAUGACACAUAAAAUCAGAUGGACCUAACAGAUAUGUACAGAACAUUCCCUCCCAAAACAACAGAAUACACAUUCUUUUCAAGUACACAUGGUACAUUAUCCAGGAUAGACCACACGUCAGUGUACAAAACAAGUCUCAGAAGUUUAAAAAGACUGAAACCCUAUCAAGCAUCUCUUCCAACCACAAUAGUAUGAAACUAGAAAUCUAUUACAAGAAAACCAGAAAUAAACACACACAGGCUAAACAGCAUACUACUAAACAACCAAUGGGUCAAUGAAGAAAUCAAGGACGAAAUCAAGAAAUAUGUGGAGACAAAUAAAAAUGAAAACACAAAGGCCCAAAAUCUUUGGGACACAGCAGCUCUUUCCCUCAAAAGCAGUUCUAAGAGGGAAGUUUAUAGCAAUACAGGUCUAUCUCAAGAAAUAAGAAAAAUCUCAAGUGUACAACCGAACCUUACAACUAAAGGAACUAAAAAAAGAACAAAGCCCAAAGCUAGUAAAAGAAAUAAUAAAUAUUAGCAUGAAAAUAAAUGAAAUAGAGACUUAAAAAGCAAUAGAAAAAAAGAUCAGUGAAACCAAGAGCUGUUUCUUUGAAUAGGUCAACAAAAUUGAUAAACCUUUAGCCAGACUC
Molecule: long non-coding RNA, 861 nt
Organism: Neofelis nebulosa (Clouded leopard)
Lineage: Eukaryota; Metazoa; Chordata; Mammalia; Carnivora; Felidae
Exons: 2
Source: RefSeq, a predicted model, not a curated record